CCUACGGGCGGCUGCAGUGGGGAAUAUUGCACAAUGGGGGAAACCCUGAUGCAGCGACGUCGCGUGAGUGAUGAAGUAUUUCGGUAUGUAAAGCUCUAUCAGCAGGGGAGAAAAUGACGGUACCUGACUAAGAAUCCCCGGCUAACUACGGGCCAGCAGCCGCGGUAAUACGUCGGGGGCAAGCGUUAUACGGAUUUACUGGGUGUAAAGGGAGCGUAGACGGGGGUGCAAGCCAGAUGUGAAAGCCCGGGGCUCAACCCCGGGACUGCAUUUGGAACUGUGCUGCUAGAGUUUCGAAGAGGCAGGCGGAAUUCGUGGUGUAGCGGUGAAAUGCGUAGAUAUUAGGAAGAACACCAGUGGCGAAGGCGGCCUGCUGGACGAUGACUGACGUUGAGGCUCGAAAGCGUGGGGAGCAAACAGGAUUAGAUACCCGGGUAGUC
Molecule: ribosomal RNA, 440 nt
Filed under: uncultured bacterium
Lineage: Bacteria
Description: partial 16S ribosomal RNA
Rfam family: Bacterial small subunit ribosomal RNA
Source: RNAcentral